Molecule: ribosomal RNA, 465 nt
Filed under: Vreelandella stevensii
Lineage: Bacteria; Pseudomonadati; Pseudomonadota; Gammaproteobacteria; Oceanospirillales; Halomonadaceae
Description: partial 16S ribosomal RNA
Rfam family: Bacterial small subunit ribosomal RNA
Source: RNAcentral
CCUACGGGUGGCUGCAGUGGGGAAUAUUGGACAAUGGGCGAAAGCCUGAUCCAGCCAUGCCGCGUGUGUGAAGAAGGCCUUCGGGUUGUAAAGCACUUUCAGUGGGGAAGAAAGCCUUGGGGCUAAUACCCUCGAGGAAGGACAUCACCCACAGAAGAAGCACCGGCUAACUCCGUGCCAGCAGCCGCGGUAAUACGGAGGGUGCGAGCGUUAAUCGGAAUUACUGGGCGUAAAGCGCGCGUAGGCGGUCUGAUAAGCCGGUUGUGAAAGCCCCGGGCUCAACCUGGGAACGGCAUCCGGAACUGUCAGGCUAGAGUGCAGGAGAGGAAAGUAGAAUUCCCGGUGUAGCGGUGAAAUGCGUAGAGAUCGGGAGGAAUACCAGUGGCGAAGGCGGCCUUCUGGACUGACACUGACGCUGAGGUGCGAAAGCGUGGGUAGCAAACAGGAUUAGAUACCCCAGUAGUC